Molecule: ribosomal RNA, 1375 nt
Filed under: uncultured bacterium
Lineage: Bacteria
Description: 16S ribosomal RNA
Rfam family: Bacterial small subunit ribosomal RNA
Source: RNAcentral
UGAACGCUGGCGGUAUGCUUAACACAUGCAAGUCGAACGGAAACGAUACUAGCUUGCUAGUAGGCGUCGAGUGGCGGACGGGUGAGUAACGCGUAGGAAUCUGCCUGAUAGUGGGGGAUAGCCCGAAGAAAUUCGGAUUAAUACCGCAUAAUCUAUUCGUAGUAAAGUGGGGGACUUUCGAGCCUCACGCUAUCAGAUGAGCCUGCGUAAGAUUAGCUUGUUGGUAGGGUAAAAGCCUACCAAGGCGACGAUCUUUAGCUGGUCUGAGAGGAUGAUCAGCCACAUCGGGACUGAGACACGGCCCGAACUCCUACGGGAGGCAGCAGUGGGGAAUAUUGGACAAUGGGGGCAACCCUGAUCCAGCAAUACCGCGUGUGUGAAGAAGGCCUGAGGGUUGUAAAGCACUUUCAAUUGUGAAGAAAAGUUAGCGGUUAAUAACCGUUAGCCUUGACGUUAACUUUAGAAGAAGCACCGGCUAACUCCGUGCCAGCAGCCGCGGUAAUACGGAGGGUGCAAGCGUUAAUCGGAAUUACUGGGCGUAAAGCGUGCGUAGGCGGUUUAUUAAGUCAGAUGUGAAAGCCCCGGGCUUAACCUGGGAACUGCAUUUGAAACUGGUCAACUAGAGUAUGGUAGAGGAAAGUGGAAUUUCUGGUGUAGCGAUGAAAUGCGUAGAUAUCAGAAGGAACAUCAAUGGCGAAGGCAGCUUUCUGGACCAAUACUGACGCUGAGGUACGAAAGCGUGGGUAGCAAACAGGAUUAGAUACCCUGGUAGUCCACGCCGUAAACGAUGAUAACUAGCCGUUGGGGGGAUUUACCCUUUAGUGGCGAAGCUAACGCGUUAAGUUAUCCGCCUGGGGAGUACGGCCGCAAGGUUAAAACUCAAAGGAAUUGACGGGGACCCGCACAAGCGGUGGAGCAUGUGGUUUAAUUCGAUGCAACGCGAAGAACCUUACCUGGUCUUGACAUCCUGCGAACUUUCUAGAAAUAGAUUGGUGCCUUCGGGAACGCAGUGACAGGUGCUGCAUGGCUGUCGUCAGCUCGUGUCGUGAGAUGUUGGGUUAAGUCCCGUAACGAGCGCAACCCCUAUCCUUAUUUGCCAGCACAUCAUGGUGGGAACUAUAAGGAGACUGCCGGUGAUAAACCGGAGGAAGGCGGGGACGACGUCAAGUCAUCAUGGCCCUUACGACCAGGGCUACACACGUGCUACAAUGGGAAGGACAAAGAGCCGCGAAGCCGCGAGGUGUAGCUAAUCUCAUAAACCUUUUCGUAGUCCGGAUUGGAGUCUGCAACUCGACUCCAUGAAGUCGGAAUCGCUAGUAAUCGUAGAUCAGAAUGCUACGGUGAAUACGUUCCCGGGUCUUGUACUCACCGCCCG